RNAcentral lists this long non-coding RNA (453 nucleotides) under Monodelphis domestica (gray short-tailed opossum). RNAcentral's name for it is "lncRNA (ENSMODG00000046766.1)". Lineage: Eukaryota; Metazoa; Chordata; Mammalia; Didelphimorphia; Didelphidae. The record is from RNAcentral.
AUUAAUUAUCAAGUUGGGACUCCAGUGUCAACACUUACUCAUCACUAAUAAUAUUCAGAUGUAAGUCAUUUGAUAUGGGUAUCAUAUGUAUAGCUCCCAAUCUCUUGGAAUCUCUUUUCUUCAAGAACGUCUUAGAAUUGGAGGACAUUCCAACUUCAUACCAGAAACCUGAAAACUGAAAGGAAUCACUCAUGUGGAAGAAGCCUAUUUGUUUAACCUGGAAAAUUCAGGGAAGACAACUCUGCAGUUCACAGGAAAGAUCUGGAAACAACAAGGUUUUAUUACUACAUCAGGAAAACCAAUUGCUCAUGCAGAAAUAAUAAAUGAAUUGUUGGAAGCUAUCCAGAAGCCUAAACAGCUAGCGGUAAUCCAUUGUAGAAGUCAUACUAAUAGAAGAGAUUCAGUUGCUAAAGGAAGUCAUAGAGCUGAUUAUAACUGCGAAAUUUGUGGCCA